AGGAUUGGUGACUCCUGCAGCAGAUGCAGCAGGCAUCUUGGGCUGCCCAAGCUUCCGCAGUGAACGUGUCCUGUUCCUGGUAAAGGUGUGGGUGUUCCUGGACACGAAGGUAUCUAUCUUCAUGCCUUGCCCAUGUGCCCAGUCCCCCACCAGAUGCUGUUCGCCUUCUGGCCCCCCUGAUUUGCUGCACUGCUGCGCCCUGAUCCUUGCAGAGGGGCUCUCAUUGGUCACCGGAAGCGCCGUCCCGCCCUUGUCAGCCUGUGAUUGGUCAUCGGCAGUGCCGUCCCGCCCUCGCCAGCCUGUGAUUGGUCAU
This is a long non-coding RNA of Centrocercus urophasianus (Greater sage-grouse), 313 nucleotides long. RefSeq lists it as uncharacterized. The record is from RefSeq and is a predicted model, not a curated record. Lineage: Eukaryota; Metazoa; Chordata; Aves; Galliformes; Phasianidae. The transcript has 3 exons.